CCUAUGGGUGGCUGCAGUGAGGAAUAUUGGUCAAUGGCCGGAAGGCUGAACCAGCCAUGCCGCGUGAAGGUCAGUGCCCUAUGGGCGUUAAACUUCUUUUGUGCGGGAGCAAUAAUGGUCACGUGUGGCCAGACGAGAGUACCGUACGAAUAAGCACCGGCUAACUACGUGCCAGCAGCCGCGGUAAUACGUAGGGUGCGAGCGUUAAUCGGAAUUACUGGGCGUAAAGGGUGUGCAGGCGGUUUUGCAAGAUGGAUGUGAAAGCCCCGGGCUUAACCUGGGAAAGCCAUACAUGACUGCAAGACUAGAGUGCGUCAGAGGGGGGUGGAAUUCCAAGUGUAGCAGUGAAAUGCGUAGAUAUUUGGAAGAACACCGAUGGCGAAGGCAGCCCCCUGGGACGCAACUGACGCUCAUACACGAAAGCGUGGGGAGCAAACAGGAUUAGAUACCCCUGUAGUC
Molecule: ribosomal RNA, 459 nt
Filed under: uncultured bacterium
Lineage: Bacteria
Description: partial 16S ribosomal RNA
Rfam family: Bacterial small subunit ribosomal RNA
Source: RNAcentral